CGGCUCUGGAAGCCCGGAGUGACACAGACGAAGACUCCACCUGGGAGUACCAAGGACUAGGGGGACUAAAAGGACUGUUUAAAAGACAAAAACAAUGAGACCAUCCUUUGUAUUUCUGUUAUGUAUUUUCAGUUAUUCAUAUGGCUGGGAAAAUAGGUUUAUGCAACUAGGGGAAAUAAUAGCAGAUUCCUUUAAUCUUACUAAUUGCUGGGUAUGUGGCGGUCCGGGAGAAUUGAAUGAAUGGCCCUGGGUAGCUCAGCCGGUACAACCCAAGUGGUGGCUAAGUAGCUUAAGCAUAGUACAUAAGGGAACGGGAAGGUGGACUGAGGAUCACGGCCCUUGGCGACUCUAUUCUGCUGGAGUAGGUGUCUUUUGCCUUAAUCGAACAAGACAUGAGGGAAGGUAUAUGGGGGAAAGUAAGUGUGAAUGGACUUUAUCUCUGGGGUUUGAUUGUUGGGAUCCCUACUGUCGCCCAUAUGACUGUUUUAGGUACCAAGGACGAUGGAACCUUACCCAUGUAAAGCUAACUAACAAUAGCUGGGUAAAAUGUUCCUACUGGAAUCACAGGGGCGAUGGUUGUAAAGCAGUAGGAUUGGAUGGGUACUUUGAUGCCCUCUUUCUAAGUUGCCAGCGAGAUAACACCACUAACAAGCACCAUGUGGUACGGUGGUAUCAGUGGGCAUGGCAACACCUUAAUGGAACCCGAGUUACCCAUUUUCGACAAUUUUGGGCUAGUACCAAUAGCCCAAGAUUUGGUUGUAAUUGUGUGUGGAAGGCAGGGGCUGGGGCAUGGAAAUGUGACUAUUGUAGCCCAAAUGUAGACAAAUUUCUAGGGGGACCUAUAGAAUCAGGUAACGCUUUAUAUUAUGAGGAGCCGGGCCCCGCCGAUUCCCCUGAGACCUGGGAUGGCCCCUUUGCCAAUGGAAUCUGGGCCUUAAAAGGCCACUAUUGGAUCUGUGGAUCCUAUGCUUAUCGUAGAUUGCCUCCAAACUGGUCGGGAAUAUGUUACGUAGGAUAUAUUAGGCCUCUAUUCUUUUUAUUACCUCAAGCCCAAGGAAAUAAAUUGGGAGUUAAAGUUUAUGAUGAUUUAGUUAGAGAAAAANNNNNNNNNNNNNNNNNNNNNNNNNNNNNN
Molecule: long non-coding RNA, 1132 nt
Filed under: Gopherus agassizii (Agassiz's desert tortoise)
Lineage: Eukaryota; Metazoa; Chordata; Testudines; Testudinidae
Description: lncRNA (ENSGAGG00000014501.1)
Source: RNAcentral